AGGGUGAAAGAGCUACCUUCUGUUCAUCCCCAAAUAGGAAAAUACACUCGUCCUGACAAACCGUCCCCUCUGACUUUGGAAAGCAUACUGCCUGAAUGUGGAGUAAAGGAAGCCAAGGGUUUGAGUUCCUUCUGGACAAACUACGGAAAGUUUCUACCGAGUCUGGAAUGAGGAAAUAUCCGUCGUGUCCGCCAACAAGAUGAAAAUGAAGAGUGUUUCAUGACAGCUCUUUCUGCUCGCUGAUUUGUCGGGCAAACAACUAACCCAUCCACUCUCACUGCAAUUUGGAAAUCUUUCAAUAUUCAAACCCUUUUCCCCUGACUUGAGCUUUUGCAUCAUAAAUGAUUUGCAAAUGUCAGACUAGGAGGUUUUUUCUUAUUAUUAUAGUUAUUUGUUUCUUGAAAUGAAUUGAAGUGGAUUCUCCACUGGCACUUGUAUAACUAACUGUACAGGGCGAGUCAAAAAGUGAGUGACCGAGUUAGAACUAGCAAGCACUCAGAGAACGCAAACCUCCAUUAAGGCUUAACAAUUCUCUGCCGUAUUGUCAGUACACCUAAAAGAAAUACUGGCAAUGGUGAAGAUUCCUGUGAAAAAAAUCCUGGAUCCAGAUCACUUCCAAAGUCUAAUCGAUCUGUACUUUGCAGCAAGGACCACCUUAAAAAGUUUGUUUUGCAAAUCCAUCCAUAACUUUUUGAGUUUCCUUGUUAACAGACAAACCAACCAACCAACAAAUUAAUCAAACCCGAUGAAAGCAUAACCUCCUUGGCGGUGGUACAUGUAAUAAAUGCAAAACAUACGUUGCUCACUCUGUUUGAUAAAAUAAUAUGAUGUUGUUUACUAGUAGCUGUGAAGAUUUCAGGUGCUAUGCGUACUCUAUUCACAAGUUGUUUGUGUUUUAAUACAAAUAUCCCAAAAUACAGCUGUCCACCACUGGUCAUUUACCGAUACGCAUUGAUGAUUCCCCUUUUUAUGUAGGCCUACAAUAAGCCAUGGAGGUUUUCCUACUCUACAUGAAUGAAUGAAAACUUGUAAAGGAAAGAAACAAAAAUCACCAUCAUCGUUUCAGAAAAAGACUUGAUGUGUUCUUUAUAUACAAAACACAAAAUCUGACAGUGAAAUAAUGUCUGAGUUUUGACACAAAUUAUUACAAUCUCAUUUGUAUUUGAAUGCCCAAAUGUAAUCUCUGGUUCUAACUCAGCUGAAUAGCUUCAGAAUGGCAUUCCAUGGACAGGUAUAAAAAUGGGUUAUUUUAGUAAAACAUGCGUAACUGCUGAUUGCAUGGAUCUAUGCCAGUAAUUCUCUCUUUUUUAGAUAAGGGGAAGAACAUGCUCUUUUAAAACAUGCUUUAUUGUUUGUUUUUUUGUCAAACUUAAUCGUUGUAAGGAAAAGAAAUCAUCAGUGAAGGUCACUUUAUGUUUGGCACACCCAGUGGAGAAAGCUGAAGAGUGAAAUGUUCUAUUUUAGAGGCGGAAGUAAAACCCCAUUAAUUGUUUUGUGGAAAUCAGUGGACCAGGUCGAGACGGAAAGCCUCAAUUCACAAGUGGGCCUUGGUGGGAUUUGAACCUAGGCCAUCCAGUUGAAAGGUUAGGAAAGUUGCACUGCAUUAACCUGCACUCCUGGCAUUUAGCUUAGAAGGUUUUUUUUAUUAGCUUUUGUUUUAAACUUGGCAUUUGCCAUAUGAAUUUCAUAUACAUGUAGUUACUUUCAUUGAUUUUGUUAAAAGUUGAACUAAGAAAUUGACUGUGAUGGGUUUGAACCUGUGACCUCCGGGUUACUGUUCCAGUGCUCUACCAGAUGAGCUAUCCAUCGCUAUGUUAGCAGUUCCCCUUUUCAUCAGUGUCUUUGUUCAAGCAUUAGUGGAACACCGGAACAGCAAUCUAAAGGUUACAGGUUCAAACCUAUAGUCUGAGUAUCACCCGUUAUCCUCAGAGCCAAGUCUCUUGUAUAAAAGUCUAAUUCAUCAAAGUAUGCAGAUUUAUGCAAUCACGUGGCUCAGCCAAUCGGAGUCGACUUUACUAAAUCAUGACGUCAUUUCAUUCCCAAAUCAGACUAAAUGGUGUGAUUGGUCAAUUCAAAUGCAGUGUUUUGUAAUACAACAAUUUGUAAUACAACAGCCCGGCGCCUAUCGCGUAACAUGAUACAGAGCGCAUGACCACAGCCUUUGUUGCAGUGUCCAGGGUAUUUUUUUAUUCAUGUCUAUGACGCAACAACGUUGAAUGACCAAACAUCCGAUAUAGAAAGCGCCCGCUGAUUGGUCAAAAUCGGAGGUCAAUGCCAUGGUCUAUGUAGUUCAAACCCCCCUCCAGUCAAUUUCUUUCUUCAACUUUAAACAAUUAUUAUAACGCACCUAGUAGUUCUCUUUAUGGUUUAAUUGAAUCCUUCUUAUUUAUGGAAAAUACAUAUUAUCCAAGGAUAAAUCCACUACAGUAAAAUGGAUAAGAAAAAAUUUGAGGGGGAAAAGACAAAAAGGAUCACUGAAGGGUGAAGUUAAGGUUUUUGUUGAAUCGGAUGAAUUUGGAAGAGUAUAAACAUAUGAAUCUGAUUAAUUUAAAAAGUAUAAAAGUGUUUUAGUCAGACGAGUUUUAACACUCUCAUCGUAAUUAAAGCUGAGUGGAAUGGAACAUUCCAUAGGUCACUGAAUGAAAUUAUUCUUUCCAUUGCCAGAAUGUGAAACAUUUUUGUUUUAUACAAAUGCCUCAAUAAAUCAUUGUCAUCUGAUUGGUUACUUGCAAACUGGUACUAUAUGAAUGUACAGCAUCAGAGCCAUCAGAGCUGUGUUUAUAGCGCAACCAGUAGUGUGACCUUUGACCUUGCAAUGGAAGUUCUAUUUAGUGGAACUUCUAUUUUGGAGUGUGACUGCGCAAUUCGUUGGAACGAAUAAUUCAAUGACGUGAUCAACGACCCAUCAAUAAGAUUAUGGGGAUUUAUUCGUGCAGUAUGAAAUAUCCUACUUGAUUGCAAGUAACUAAAUGUGAUGAUUUAAGCAUCCUGUGAAAUCGCAGCUCCUGGUAUGCUGUCAUCUUCAAGAAAAGAUAACUAGCUUCCUUGUUGACGGUGGAACUCUUUUAGUUUGACAAACACUCCCCUCUAACAUUGGAAAGCAUACUUCUGAAUGUGGAGUAAAGGUGAGAUUCCCUCUGGCUUUAUAUUUCUCCCUCAGUUUCUCUAUAAGUUGGUGGUUGUUCCCACGGAAAGGUUGUUACCAAAUUGAAUAGGUGGUAUUCAGUGGAAAGUCAGUUCUGGGCAUUCCAAGUUUAGUCCGCUUUAUUACGCCUAUUCAUAGGAAAAUGACAUGCAGUUUUUUCUUCAAACAUCCCACCCCCUCGAUUCUAUGGCAUUUUUUUUGGGGGGGGGGAAUUUCUGGCAAUAAAAGAGUUCCACCGUCAACAAGGAAGCUAGUAGCAAAUGAUUUUAUACAGACCUCGGCCUGCUGGACUGUGUAGAAAAAAUAAACCCUGGAUUUCUGUUGAAUAGGACAAGAAAUAGUUCCUUCUCAGAGCAUUAUAUAUAUAGCUCCAUAUGACCACAUUGAUCUACUGUUUCAUUCUGACUUUACCACAAAAAAAAGAAGGAAAUGAAAAACUUAAAGUUUCCUAGUUUUCAUUCAGUGGAAAAUUUGCCGUGUUAUGCGAUGUACAUUUUGGUAUUUGGUUUUGCACUUGACUGAUAAAUUGUUUUAAGAACAGUGUACUGAAUGCUUUUUGAGAGCCUAUGCAACAGAGAAAAAAAUAGAGAACAUUUGGGUGGGACUUAAUGCUCAGUAUGUUUGACUGUUUCGGUAUUCAGUUAUUCAAAGUUGGAUUUGAUUGAAUAUUCACAACAUACCAAUCAAAUUUUUAGAUGUGCCAUACACCAGCCGAAAUGGAAUGCAUCAGUUGCUAAUGGUCACCCAA
RNAcentral lists this long non-coding RNA (3893 nucleotides) under Patiria miniata (bat star). Its description in RNAcentral is "uncharacterized LOC119722152, transcript variant X1". Lineage: Eukaryota; Metazoa; Echinodermata; Asteroidea; Valvatida; Asterinidae. The record is from RNAcentral.